CCCUUAGAUGUCCUGGGCCGCACGCGCGUUACACUGAUGCAUUCAACGAGCUUUUAACCUUGGCCGAGAGGCCUGGGCAAUCUUGUUAACGUGCAUCGUGAUAGGGAUAGAUUAUUGAAAUUAUUAAUCUUGAACGAGGAAUUCCUAGUAAACGCAGAUCAUCAAUCUGCAUUGAUUACGUCCCUGCCCUUUGUACACACCGCCCGUCGCACCUACCGAUUGGAUGGUCCGGUGAAGCCUCGGGAUUGUGGUUCUUGCCGCUUUAUUGUGGCGUGACCGCGAGAACUUGUCUAAACCUUAUCAUCUAGAGGAAGGUGAAGUCGUAACA
RNAcentral lists this ribosomal RNA (328 nucleotides) under uncultured eukaryote. Its description in RNAcentral is "partial 18S ribosomal RNA". It matches the Rfam family "Eukaryotic small subunit ribosomal RNA", at positions 1470 to 1796 of the family's 1831-position model. The record is from RNAcentral.